Zea mays is the source of this 2574-nucleotide RNA transcript. RefSeq lists it as uncharacterized. Lineage: Eukaryota; Viridiplantae; Streptophyta; Magnoliopsida; Poales; Poaceae. The record is from RefSeq and is marked validated. The transcript is spliced from 6 exons.
GGAAGUGCACAAGUGAUGCACCGAAGACUGACCACCGGCCUCCAGCAUCUCUGUUCCGUGCAUUGGUGCGUGUCCAUCGUCGAUCGUUCUGCCCGGCCUUCUUCCCCGUCGACGUCAUCUGGUCUCGCUCCAGACUCCCAGCGCCGAUGGGCGAUGGCCCUGCUAGCGAUGCACCAAUGCACGCAGCACGCCAGCCAGUUUUGGGGCAGGGCCGGGGACAGAAAAGUCCGCCAAUCCGGAGAGUGACUCGCCGUCGCCGUCGCCGUCGGUUAUACUCCGGUCACUGGUCAGUUAGCCAACGCCUGCAGUUCCUUUAUUUUCGGCCCAAGGCAAGAAGCCGUCCGGUCCGUGGUAGCCGAUGACGAAUGACGGCGCAAGAGGCAAGAUGGCGGAUCUCGGCCGAACUGUGUUCCCGCAAGCAAAGCGACCCAACAGCACCUUAUCCCCUCGUUAACACCUCCCCACAUCUCGUUCCUUGUCCUCUCCAUUUCGAGCUCAAGCUCAAUCACUUCGGAUUGGCGGCGGGCACGCGCCGGACGAAAUGGAAGCGGCACCAUCCGCCCGCGCCUUCUCCCCGUCCUCGUCUCCCUCCGCGGGGGCUAGACCCAGCCUUCCCCUCGCGGGCCUGGCCUCGCGGCGCGCCCGGGUGCUCGCGGCGCCGCCCCCGCCCCGCGCCGUCGCCUCCUCCCGCGCGCCGCUGGUGGUCUCCAGCCCGCCACCGCCGGAGGACUCCGGCACGCACAACCCCGCGCACGCCAAGGUCGACCGCUCCGGCCGCUUCUGCAGCCCCCGCGCCGCACGGGAACUCGCGCUGAUGAUUUCCUACGCCGCGUGUCUGGAGGGAACCGAUGUUGUCCGGCUCUUCGAUCGCAGGAUCAGCGCAAGGCGAGAACCCGGGUUUGUUUUCAACAAGGCAUGCCUAUUGAAUUACAACCAUAUGAGCUUUGGCGGGGGACCGCUCGAGGUUGGAACGGAGCAGGAGGCUGAGAAGCUGGCCAGUCAGAACGAUAAGGAUUCAGCCAACGAAGCAGAUGUACUUUCAGCUCCUCCAAAACUUGUUUACAACAACUAUGUAUUACGGUUGUCCAGGGAACUUUUAGUGGCUGUUGCCAGUGGAUGGGAUAAGCAUGUGGUUAUCAUCGACAAAAUAAUUCCCCAGGCUUGGAAGGUUAGAUACCUUUUCCUAAUCUUCUAUGUUGAUUCAUCAAUCCCUUCUACAUGCAUCACAGCAUCAAACUAUUUAUAUGUUCAGCAGUCUGGUUCAAACAUGUACUUAUUCUGUAUAUUACACCACUGUUUUUCACACUACACUGUACUAGUGAACAAUCACUCUGAUGCAUACCAGAAGCUGUUUACAGUUUGGUUUGAACAUAUCCUUAUUCUGUAUAUUACACCACUGUUUUUCAUUGCACUGAAAUAGUGAACAAGCACUAUGAUGCAUAACAGAAGUGUAUGACCAUCAAGGAUGAUUUUCUGCCUUGUGUUUCAGCAUGCAGUGAAAUAUUGAGAUCUCACAUUGUUAUUUAAUUAUUUUAGACUAAUGCCUUACCUUAUUACGAAUUAAUUUUCUAGCAUAGUUAAUUAGUUAUUUCUGUUUGCCACCCCAAGGAUGAGGAAGUGAUACAUAAUCUGAAGAAUGUACCUUCCUUAAUCUGAAUCACUUUGUUUCUAUAUUUGUUUCUACUACCAGAGCUCAGAUGUUUUUAUAGUAAAAAAAAUAUAUGAAACACAAUAUACUUUGCUUUCAGUUUAUAAUCUACCGGUUUUUUAACUGUUGUCCUAAUAUGUGUUUGUAUAUAUUUUAAUAUUUAGUUUUUUGCGUCCUGUUUUAUGGCAUAACCUGCUGUUGGUACAUGGAAAAUUUCAUGGUCAGGAUGAACCUGUGGCAAGGAUUCUUGAGCUCUGCAUUCUACAUAUUGCUAUGGCUGAGAUGGCAUCAAAAGGAACACCCCACAAAGUUGUCAUUAAUGAGGCAGUAGAUCUGGCAAAGCGAUUUUGUGAUGGUGGUGCCCCUCGGGUAAUCAACGGAUGCCUUCGAACAUUUGUGAAGGAUCAUGUUGAUGUUGCAGGCACGAGCCAGGAAGCUAAAUCAAAAUCAUGAUUUUUUGCAAAUACUCAUACAACAAAAUGGUGGCUGAAGUAAAGAAGUACGGAGAGAACCUUGCUGUCUUGAGUUCAGGCGAAUACCUUCUGUCUCCAAGGUUUAGCCUUCAACCUAAGGGAAUCUAAAAGGUAAACAUGAUGGACUCAUCAAGGAGCCACAACACGUUCAUUCUUUUAGAAUGUUCGGUUAUUAGGUGAAGUAUACAGAGCUGUAAACCGGUGAUGCACAUUCAUGCUUCAUCUAAAACAACCGAAGGUUAUGGCUUCUGAUAGCCUACUCGACGCAGAUCGUUAAAUGAUCAGAUAUUAAGAUGACCAGGAGUUGUGUAAAAGCUUGAUGCAUAUGUAAAAUGUUAUAUAUACUUGGCAUUGGCUCAUUGCAAUGGGAGAAGGAUAUUCUAGUUUCAUAAGUUGAUGUAAGACAUGUACGCUCAUUUUAGGAUUAUUAAUCGCAUAUUGUGUUUGCUUCUA